Molecule: ribosomal RNA, 322 nt
Filed under: uncultured eukaryote
Lineage: Eukaryota
Description: partial 18S ribosomal RNA
Rfam family: Eukaryotic small subunit ribosomal RNA
Source: RNAcentral
CCCUUAGAUGUUCUGGGCCGCACGCGUGCUACACUGAGUAAUUCAAUGGGUAAGGGAACGCUAGAGCAUUACCUAAUCUUGAAAUUUGCUCGUGAUGGGGAUCGACGGUUGCAAUUUUCCGUCGUGAACGAGGAAUACCUUGUAGGCGCAUGUCAUCAUCAUGCGCCGAAUACGUCCCUGCCCUUUGUACACACCGUCCGUCGCUCCUACCGAUUGAGUGAUCCGGUGAGGCUCUGGGACCUGGACGGAAAGAGCGUUUCGCUUGUUCUGUUUGGGAAACUUGGUCGAACCUUAUCAUUUAGAGGAAGGAGAAGUCGUAACA